UACAGAGGUCUCAAGCGUUGUUCGGAUUCAUUGGGCGUAAAGGGCGCGUAGGCGGCGGGGUAAGUCUGGUGUGAAAUCUAGGAGCUCAACUCCUAAACUGCACUGGAUACUGCUCUGCUAGAGGACUGGAGAGGAGACUGGAAUUCACGGUGUAGCAGUGAAAUGCGUAGAUAUCGGGAAGAACACCCGUGGCGAAGGCGGCUCUCUGGGACGGUACUGACGCUGAGACGCGAAAGCGUGGGGAGCGAACAGG
Molecule: ribosomal RNA, 253 nt
Filed under: uncultured bacterium
Lineage: Bacteria
Description: partial 16S ribosomal RNA
Rfam family: Bacterial small subunit ribosomal RNA
Source: RNAcentral